UCUUCCCUCUGGCGGCGUGCCUAAUACAUGCAAGUCGAGCGAACGGACGAGAAGCUUGCUUCUCUGAUGUUAGCGGCGGACGGGUGAGUAACACGUGGAUAACCUACCUAUAAGACUGGGAUAACUUCGGGAAACCGGAGCUAAUACCGGAUAUUAUUUUGAACCGCAUGGUUCAAAAGUGAAAGACGGUCUUGCUGUCACUUAUAGAUGGAUCCGCGCUGCAUUAGCUAGUUGGUAAGGUAACGGCUUACCAAGGCAACGAUGCAUAGCCGACCUGAGAGGGGGAUCGGCCACACUGGAACUGAGACACGGUCCAGACUCCUACGGGAGGCAGCAGUAGGGAAUCUUCCGCAAUGGGCGAAAGCCUGACGGAGCAACGCCGCGUGAGUGAUGAAGGUCUUCGGAUCGUAAAACUCUGUUAUUAGGGAAGAACAUAUGUGUAAGUAACUGUGCACAUCUUGACGGUACCUAAUCAGAAAGCCACGGCUAGCUACGUG
Molecule: ribosomal RNA, 497 nt
Filed under: uncultured bacterium
Lineage: Bacteria
Description: partial 16S ribosomal RNA
Rfam family: Bacterial small subunit ribosomal RNA
Source: RNAcentral